Molecule: unclassified non-coding RNA, 355 nt
Filed under: soil metagenome
Description: partial contains 5.8S ribosomal RNA, internal transcribed spacer 2, and large subunit ribosomal RNA
Rfam family: 5.8S ribosomal RNA (bases 1-120)
Source: RNAcentral
GAUGAAGAACGCAGCGAAAUGCGAUAAGUAGUGUGAAUUGCAGAAUUCAGUGAAUCAUCGAAUCUUUGAACGCACAUUGCGCCUUCUAGUAUUCUGGGAGGCAUGCCUGUUUGAGCGUCAUUAAACCUCUCUCAAGUAUGAUUACUUGGAUGUGAAGGAAGAGUACCUUAAACUUAAGGAGUGUUCUCCUUUGAAAUUGAUUAGCAGAUGGUAAUGUUAUUAAAUCCCUGAUGUUGUAAGAAAUAACAGUGGUUUUGUAGACUAUUAUCUAGCUUUAUAUUAUAAUUUUUAUUAUGGUUGACCUCAAAUCAGGUAAGGAUACCCGCUGAACUUAAGCAUAUCAAUAAGCGGAGGA